AUAUUUAUUGCUACCGAAUAUUUGUGUUGAAUAAUUUUUAGGUAGAUUUCGUAGAAAUCUAUCUAUUGCAUUGUCGGAAUUCACACGGAAUUUUGUCAUUUUAACUCUUAUUUAGUCGAGUAAGGCUUAAAAUUAGCAUUGGUUCAAAAAUUUAUAUAUUUAUGUAUAUAUAUAUAUACGUAAUGUAACGCGGUUUGUGGACACGAUAGCGUCUACAAUUUUCAAUGGAUUUAGAUGAAACUUGCUACACAUAUUCUUUGGAUAAUAACCUUGAAUGAGUUUAAAGAUGAGCGAAAUCCGUCAAUAAGUUUAGAAAUGGUAGCUGUUCAAAUUUAUCAAAAUAGUGAAAAUUACAUUUUUGGUGAUUUCAUUGAUGUAUAACUUUUGAUUGAAAAGAGAUGACUAAUAGUUGAUAAAUUCUUGUGAAAGCUCAUAAAAUUACCUUUAAUUUGAUGUAUAUGACAUUGAAACUUUGACCAUUCUUAGUUAUUUUAUCAAAGUUAAGAGUUCUAUUGAAUCAUUUUCAGGCAAUGUAUAGUACAACCGACUUAUGAAUGUUAUUCUAUCGAGAAUUUUCAAGAGAUCCUAACAAAAUUUAGUAUAUAGAUUCCUUGGACAAUUAGCUUGCAUAAGCCUUAAAAUGAGCGGUCCUUCAAUUAGUUCAGAAAUAGUAGCUCUUCAAAAUGAUCAAAAUAGUAAAAAUUACGUUUUUGGUGACUUCACUUAUGGAUAACUUUUGAUAGAAAAAAGAUAGCUAAUUUUUAAUAAAUUCAUGCAAAAGCUCACAAAAUUACCCCUAAUUUGACGUAAAUAACGUCAACUUUUUGACAAUUAUUAGUUAUUUUAUCGAAGUUAAGAGUUCAAUUGAACCAUUUUCAGGCAAUGUGUAGUACAACCUACUCAUGUGUGGCCGAAUGGCGUUUUUUUCUUUUCGAAUAGAUAAUAAAGACAAUAAUUUUUGGCAGGUCGAAUUAUCGAGACUAUUUUGUAGGAAUAUUCAAU
Long non-coding RNA from Cotesia glomerata, 1002 nucleotides. RefSeq lists it as uncharacterized. Lineage: Eukaryota; Metazoa; Arthropoda; Insecta; Hymenoptera; Braconidae. The record is from RefSeq and is a predicted model, not a curated record. The transcript is spliced from 2 exons.